RNAcentral lists this long non-coding RNA (3035 nucleotides) under Canis lupus familiaris (dog). Its description in RNAcentral is "lncRNA (ENSCAFG00030021077.1)". The record is from RNAcentral. Lineage: Eukaryota; Metazoa; Chordata; Mammalia; Carnivora; Canidae.
AUGUGCGGACAGAGGCCCUGGCCUGGCUGGGACUGGAAAGGCCACAGCAGGAAGAGGCCGAGAUGGUCGAGAGUCAUAAUUACUACCUGGAUGACGUUUCUGAUCUGCUGGAUGAGCUUCUGUCAAAGAUUCAUGCUUUGUCUGACAGCCUACAGCUUCCUCUUCCAGAGCAGCAAUUCUGUGAUAUGCGAGAGGCCAGGGCAAAAGGUCAUUCCUCAGCGGGUAUUUCUGCCUAACAAGCCACUGGGGUGAGUCAGUGCAGCGACAUGCGGUGGGGCUGCCCCCCUCUGCACUCCUCUCGCCCCCCCCCCUGCGUGGUGACCGCAGGGUGCCUCGGCUGCAUUGAUCCACCCACGGGGAGAGCCGCACCCCAGCGGUGCUUCUCGCUGAGCAGAAGGACUUUGCCCCCAAAUUCUUAAUUCUUAAUUCUUCCUGAUGUGCGAGCCCCGUUGCCACCCCACCCCACCCCACCCCGGGGACACGCUGCUUUGCAGGGAUGGCCAGGCCACUGAAAUUUCGAUGCAAGUGAGAGAUGCCAGAGCAGCUUUUCCUGCAUAUUUUCCUGUGGAUUCACCUUUAUGAAUUUGGUUACGUAAGGCAGGAACAUCCAGAAGGUCAGAAACACCCUGGCCUCAAGCUAUAGUCUGCCCCAGCGGGUUUGGUCCUUUUUUACAAAGAAGUGUUAAUUCCUUAGCACUCGCCUGCCAGGAGGGACACUGGGCGUUUGGUGUGACCGCGGAGGAUCCACACUCACUUUCCACAUCGGGGUCCUCGUGACUGUGGACGUGGGUCUGCCGAGGAGGCUGGCACGCCGGCGCCCGUGGCCCCUGCUUUCAGGGAGGUUUGUGUGUGCGUCCUGCGAGUCAGUGACAGUUAGGACACAGGGAGCCAUCAAAAGGGUGGAUUUUCUUCCUACUUCUUCCCUUAACUUUGCCAGUUUGCGGGCGAGCUUAGGAGAUACUUAGAAGACCUGAUUUUCCUUAAUACGGACCGCCUACAAAUGUCACAGAAACCUGUCCGGGAAGUUUGCUCAGCUCCCUUCUCCCACCCAGGACUUUUUGUGGUCAUAACUGGGUUCUGUAAACCCAGCUUUCUGGGCUCAUGAACACUCAAUACUUGAAUCCUUGAGAAGAAAACGGGUUAUGAAGGGUUUGGUUUGCUUAAGGAAAUAUCCACUCAGCCUGAGCACACGGAAAGUUUGGGCCCCCCAGAGAGGCAGACAGGACUGGUGGGGGAGCACCUGCUGAGUGAGGGUCAGAGGCCAGUGGCGGGGGGUGGGGGGCUUGGGUAGUGACUUCACUCCUGAGCCUCAGUGUCCUCCCCGGUAAAGGAGGCUCUCCCGGUGCCUAAAUGUGUGGUGCUCCUCACGGGCUUCACAUAUAAUCACUCAACCUGGGUUUUCAUUUGUUCACCAAGAGAUGCAGCGGGCACAGCUCCAGGGGCUGCGGGUGGGGGUCCACUGAUGUCUGUGUCCACCAAGAAGACACAGUGUUCCUGAACUUGGAAAAUGCACAUCUCAGAACUGGGGGCAAAGUUCUGAGCAACGGAUCUGCAGGACGAGGCUGUGAGGGGCCACUCAGGAUGCAGAUGCUGGAUUACAGUGAGGUCUUGGGGUGCCCGGCUGGCGGGGUUGGUGGAACACGUGACUUUGGAUCUCACGGCUGUGAGUUCAAGCCCCACAUUAGGUGUAGAGAUCACUUAAGAAUAAAAUCUUUUUAAGGGAGAGUAAAGAAUAAAAUUAGGGGGCGCCUGGGAGGCCCAGUUGGUGAAGCAUGUGCCUUCAGCUCAGGUCCUGAUCUCGGGGUCCUGGGAUUGAGCCCCAUGUGGGCUCUGUGCUCAGCGGGGCGUCUGCUUCUCUCUCUGUCCCCACUCCCACCCUCUCUGUCCCAGAUAAAUAAAUAAAAUCUUUUUAAAUAAAUAAAUGAAUAAAAUGAGGUGUCCUGGGAAGAACGUGCUCCCCUGUAACUCCCAAGAUCCACUCGGUCUGGAAGCAGGAGAUUUGUCCUGGAUUUGACUGAAGUGACUCAGCAUUCCUGCUGGGCAGCCCGUGAGCUGUGUCUCCCCCUCUUCUCACAGUGUUUUCUACAGAACCGACUGCCCAGUAAAUAUGUAGCCAUCAAUUACUGGCAAAAAAGAAGCUACCGGAAUGUGGAUACGGGUAGAAAGAGGCAAAAUAACCAGGGCAGGAUGUUCAUACAUGAUUCCAAGUAGAUGUACAGGAGCGCUCCAGUGAACUAUUCUUGUAAUUUUUUUUUUUUUUUGUAAUUUUUCUUAUACGUCUGAGAUGAUUUCCAAAUGAAAAGCUUCGGGGGCACCGGCCUGGCUUGAUUGACGGAGUGACUCUUGAUCUCACGGUUGUGGGUUCGAGCCUCACACUGAGUGCAGAGCUGACUUAAAAAAAAUAAGAAAAUAAACAAAAAGUCUCUGUUGACUCAUUCAACGGCAAGAUGACAACACUCUAGAGUCACAGCUACGGAUGUGAUUAGUUGUGAUGGUUCUUGUUUUUUUUCCUAAACUUUUCUCCAUGCCCAAGUAUAUUUUGGAAUUUUUCCCUUCCAUGGACACCACAAGAAAAGCUAAUUAAAUUCAAGAGAACUAUUCAGAUGUGAUUUGCAAACACAUACUACAUUAGAGGUGGAAAGAACCAGACGGAAAUGUUCGAGCAGACAGUCUUCAGAGAUAAAUGUCCUCUGCUCUCGGGAUUAUAUUUAAGUCUGCCCGUGAUAACUUCACAAGACGGAGCGUUGUUGUUGGGCUUGAUUCAUUCCUUCCGGGCAGACUGAGCUCCGGCAAGGUUGAAAUAUUAUUGUUAAUCCCUUUUUAUUUAGAUGUGCGCUAGAGUAGCAUUUGAGACACGAUGGAUAUAAACCAGGACUUCUGCGUUACUAUGAAGACAUAAUUUAUUUACUCGAACCAAAUUAUCUCGUAGGGGGAGCCAAGGAAGUUGAAUUCCUCAAGACUGAACUACGCUGUCAGCUGGCUUCCUUCCGGAGAAGUUUCUGCUUUAGCUAAAGAGUCUUUCAAACCACAGUUAU